Molecule: ribosomal RNA, 1026 nt
Filed under: Staphylococcus pseudintermedius
Lineage: Bacteria; Bacillati; Bacillota; Bacilli; Caryophanales; Staphylococcaceae
Description: partial 23S ribosomal RNA
Rfam family: Bacterial large subunit ribosomal RNA
Source: RNAcentral
GUACCGUGAGGGAAAGGUGAAAAGUACCCCGGAAGGGGAGUGAAAGAGAACUUGAAACCGUGUGCUUACAAGUAGUCAGAGCCCGUUAAUGGGUGAUGGCGUGCCUUUUGUAGAAUGAACCGGCGAGUUACGAUCUGAUGCAAGGUUAAGCAGAAAAUGUGGAGCCGUAGCGAAAGCGAGUCUGAAUAGGGCGAAUGAGUAUUUGGUCGUAGACCCGAAACCAGGUGAUCUACCCUUGGUCAGGUUGAAGUUCAGGUAACACUGAAUGGAGGACCGAACCGACUUACGUUGAAAAGUGAGCGGAUGAACUGAGGGUAGCGGAGAAAUUCCAAUCGAACUUGGAGAUAGCUGGUUCUCUCCGAAAUAGCUUUAGGGCUAGCCUCAAGUGAUGAUUAUUGGAGGUAGAGCACUGUUUGGACGAGGGGCCCCUCUCGGGUUACCGAAUUCAGACAAACUCCGAAUGCCAAAUAAUUUAACUUGGGAGUCAGAAUGUGGGUGAUAAGGUCCAUAUUCGAAAGGGAAACAGCCCAGACCACCAGCUAAGGUCCCAAAAUAUAUGUUAAGUGGAAAAGGAUGUGGCGUUGCCCAGACAACUAGGAUGUUGGCUUAGAAGCAGCCAUCAUUUAAAGAGUGCGUAAUAGCUCACUAGUCGAGUGACACUGCGCCGAAAAUGUACCGGGGCUAAACAUAUUACCGAAGCUGUGGAUUGUCCUUUGGACAAUGGUAGGAGAGCGUUCUAAGGGCGUUGAAGCAUGAUCGCAAGGACAUGUGGAGCGCUUAGAAGUGAGAAUGCCGGUGUGAGUAGCGAAAGACGGGUGAGAAUCCCGUCCACCGAUUGACUAAGGUUUCCAGAGGAAGGCUCGUCCGCUCUGGGUUAGUCGGGUCCUAAGCUGAGGCCGACAGGCGUAGGCGAUGGAUAACAGGUUGAUAUUCCUGUACCACCAUUAUUCGUUUUAAGCGAUGGGGGGACGCAGUAGGAUAGGCGAAGCGUGCUGUUGGAGUGCACGUCCAAGCAGUGAGAUUGAG